This 826-nucleotide ribosomal RNA is filed under the name uncultured bacterium. RNAcentral's name for it is "bacterial SSU rRNA". It matches the Rfam family "Bacterial small subunit ribosomal RNA", at positions 64 to 896 of the family's 1533-position model. The record is from RNAcentral.
GAGGGGUAUAGUUCUUCGGAACUAGAGACCGGCGCACGGGUGCGUAACGCGUAUGCAAUCUACCUUUUGCAGAGGGAUAGCCCAGAGAAAUUUGGAUUAAUACCUCAUAGUAUGUGAGAAUGGCAUCAUUUUCACAUUAAAGUCACAACGGCAAAAGAUGAGCAUGCGUCCCAUUAGCUAGUUGGUAAGGUAACGGCUUACCAAGGCAACGAUGGGUAGGGGUCCUGAGAGGGAGAUCCCCCACACUGGUACUGAGACACGGACCAGACUCCUACGGGAGGCAGCAGUGAGGAAUAUUGGACAAUGGGCGCAAGCCUGAUCCAGCCAUGCCGCGUGCAGGAUGACGGUUCUAUGGAUUGUAAACUGCUUUUGUACAGGAAGAAACACUGGUUCGUGAACCAGCUUGACGGUACUGUAAGAAUAAGGAUCGGCUAACUCCGUGCCAGCAGCCGCGGUAAUACGGAGGAUCCAAGCGUUAUCCGGAAUCAUUGGGUUUAAAGGGUCCGUAGGCGGUUUAGUAAGUCAGUGGUGAAAGCCCAUCGCUCAACGGUGGAACGGCCAUUGAUACUGCUAGACUUGAAUUAUUAGGAAGUAACUAGAAUAUGUAGUGUAGCGGUGAAAUGCUUAGAGAUUACAUGGAAUACCAAUUGCGAAGGCAGGUUACUACUAAUGGAUUGACGCUGAUGGACGAAAGCGUGGGUAGCGAACAGGAUUAGAUACCCUGGUAGUCCACGCCGUAAACGAUGGAUACUAGCUGUUGGGGGCAACUUCAGUGGCUAAGCGAAAGUGAUAAGUAUCCCACCUGGGGAGUACGUUCGCAAGAAUG